AAAUAAAGCAAGAACAUCCUAACUGGUAUUCAACUCAAUCUGCAACAAAGAUGGAUGAUCAACAGUAAUCCUUUUACCAAACAAUAACACGUCUAGCACACAUCUCGUUUGAGAACCAAGAAAAAUCAGAGAUAACAGCUCCAAAUAGAUUCAGCUAUUUAAAUGAAAACCAACAGUUUCAGUCGUUUAAGUGAUAUCGUGUCACAAAGGUUUACAACUUACUUCAUUAAACAAUGGAUCAAUUAAGAUGAACCAAAAUGAGGCUAAGACAGGAUGGAACUCAAAUAGUUCAAGCAGCGGAUUAAUUAGUUUCAGAUUCGAAUCAUCAAGAAACAAAUAAAUCUAGCGUGAAGCCAACACGAAUCAGAAUUAAUUCUUAGAUAAAUUGCUAGCAAAUAUAAACAGAACCCACACUAAAAGGAAGACGCCAGAACAAGGUUUCCAAUAUUUCAGAUUCAAGCCACAAGAGGCUUUAAAAUUCUCAGCAUUUCAAAGAUAGUUUCAUCCCUCACUCAAAAUUCAAACUACAACAGCAAACAGUUACUCAUGUUUAUUUUUAUAAUUCUAACUUAACCAAAAGGAAACUGAACUAUUCAUGAAGACGGUUCGACCGGAAUGUAACAGAAUUUAACAGACGAUCGCAACAAUUCUAAAGACACAGCAAAAUCAGAAAUUAGUGACAUAUACACAACCGAGUCAAACCAGACAUACUCGUGCAAAUGAAAAACCAACACCUUACGACCAAACAGUCACAUUUCAUAAUCAAACGCCAAAGAUAGGCUACAUGGGAUUAAAAGCGAACCUGAAUCAAUAAACAACCCGUUUAACUUCGUACGAGCUUGGAAUACAAACAAGACCUAGAAGCUAAUGAGUUGAAAUCAGAAGCUCGGACAGCAGCAGACUCACACUUCUCGACGCCAUUGUUCGUCCGAAAACCAGAAUUGAAAUCAAAGAAAACUCUAGUGCAUCGAAAUGCUAAUCAAAACUGAUCUCCGUGAAAUUAUGAAACAAACAGGACAGAAAAGAAAACUUGAACAAACUCAAUGCAUCUCUAUUUCUGAAAGGAAUCAAAGAAAGAUAGUGAAAACUUCUUUGUUUUUAGAUUUUCUGAAACAGGACAAGGAACUAAAACCAAAAGAAACUGGAAUAUCUCAGCCUUUUCUUCCAGAAUCAAAAUUAAAAUCCAAAAGAACUCCAUGAAAACUGAAUGAACUCUCAAACUUUUUUUCCAAUCUUUUCGACUCCAAAAAAAAAAUCCCCCCUACUUACUCGAAAUGGUCCCUUAUAUCAAAACUCUCGAUCCUUUCCCCCUCCUCACGAAAAACGACUGAGGCUCUCAUAAAAACGAGCAUGUGAUGAACGUGAGGCUCGGAUUGAAUCAAAUCGAUCCGACGCCUCUCACUCAUCCAACACCCUUCUUCUAGAGCCUUCUAAUCCGCGUGAGAUAGCUUGAAAACGGGCGAGUGAGGAGGCAAUAUUGUUGUUGUCAGAGGUCUUUACACCCAUGUGGCAAUAAGAGAGAAGAAAAGAGCGCGUGAGGUGAAUUUUUGGGCGAAAUCGGGUGAGGCAGAACGGCGUGAGAUAGCUUGAAAACAGGCGAGUGAGGAGGCAAUAUUGUUGUUGUCAGAGGUCUUUACACCCAUGUGGCAAUAAGAGAGAAGAAAAGAGCGCGUGAGGUGAAUUUUUGGGCGAAAUCGGGUGAGGCAGAACGUUGUGGACUGCUUGGAGAAGAGGAACAGGGAAUUAGAGUUCUGCCCCGUUCAAUUUCGCGUUUGUUAAUUAAUUGGGAACGGGUUGGGUUGUGU
Molecule: long non-coding RNA, 1805 nt
Filed under: Nicotiana benthamiana
Lineage: Eukaryota; Viridiplantae; Streptophyta; Magnoliopsida; Solanales; Solanaceae
Description: long non-coding RNA (NBEN_LNC015922)
Source: RNAcentral